CGGUGUAGCUCAGUGGUAGAGCAACGCUUUCGUAAAGCGUAGGUCAAGGGUUCGACUCCCUUCACCG
This 67-nucleotide transfer RNA is filed under the name marine eukaryotic metagenome. It matches the Rfam family "tRNA". Rfam says of the family: Transfer RNA (tRNA) molecules are approximately 80 nucleotides in length. The record is from RNAcentral.